Molecule: ribosomal RNA, 619 nt
Filed under: Bacillus subtilis
Lineage: Bacteria; Bacillati; Bacillota; Bacilli; Caryophanales; Bacillaceae
Description: bacterial SSU rRNA
Rfam family: Bacterial small subunit ribosomal RNA
Source: RNAcentral
UUUGAUCCUGGCUCAGGACGAACGCUGGCGGCGUGCCUAAUACAUGCAAGUCGAGCGGACAGAUGGGAGCUUGCUCCCUGAUGUUAGCGGCGGACGGGUGAGUAACACGUGGGUAACCUGCCUGUAAGACUGGGAUAACUCCGGGAAACCGGGGCUAAUACCGGAUGGUUGUUUGAACCGCAUGGUUCAAACAUAAAAGGUGGCUUCGGCUACCACUUACAGAUGGACCCGCGGCGCAUUAGCUAGUUGGUGAGGUAACGGCUCACCAAGGCAACGAUGCGUAGCCGACCUGAGAGGGUGAUCGGCCACACUGGGACUGAGACACGGCCCAGACUCCUACGGGAGGCAGCAGUAGGGAAUCUUCCGCAAUGGACGAAAGUCUGACGGAGCAACGCCGCGUGAGUGAUGAAGGUUUUCGGAUCGUAAAGCUCUGUUGUUAGGGAAGAACAAGUACCGUUCGAAUAGGGCGGUACCUUGACGGUACCUAACCAGAAAGCCACGGCUAACUACGUGCCAGCAGCCGCGGUAAUACGUAGGUGGCAAGCGUUGUCCGGAAUUAUUGGGCGUAAAGGGCUCGCAGGCGGUUUCUUAAGUCUGAUGUGAAAGCCCCCGGCUCAAC